UACAGAGGGUGCAAGCGUUGUUCGGAUUCACUGGGCGUAAAGGGUGCGUAGGUGGUGAGGUAAGUCGGAUGUGAAAUCUCGGAGCUCAACUCCGAAACGGCAUUGGAAACUACCUCGCUCGAGGGUUGGAGGGGGGACUGGAAUUCUCGGUGUAGCAGUGAAAUGCGUAGAUAUCGAGAGGAACACCAGUGGCGAAGGCGAGUCCCUGGACAACUCCUGACACUGAGGCACGAAAGCUAGGGGAGCAAACAGG
This 253-nucleotide ribosomal RNA is filed under the name uncultured bacterium. RNAcentral's name for it is "partial 16S ribosomal RNA". It matches the Rfam family "Bacterial small subunit ribosomal RNA", at positions 524 to 776 of the family's 1533-position model. The record is from RNAcentral.